GCGGGAUAGCUCAGUUGGUCAGAGCGCUAGAUUGUGAUUCUAGAGGUCACGGGUUCGGAUCCCGUUAUUCGCC
RNAcentral lists this transfer RNA (73 nucleotides) under Acidimicrobiaceae bacterium. Its description in RNAcentral is "tRNA-His". It matches the Rfam family "tRNA". Rfam says of the family: Transfer RNA (tRNA) molecules are approximately 80 nucleotides in length. Lineage: Bacteria; Bacillati; Actinomycetota; Acidimicrobiia; Acidimicrobiales; Acidimicrobiaceae. The record is from RNAcentral.